CUUGCACCUUUCAAGCGAGUGGCGAACGGGUGAGUAACACGUGGAUAACCUGCCUCAAGGCUGGGGAUAACAUUUGGAAACAGAUGCUAAUACCGAAUAAAACUUAGUAUCGCAUGAUACAAAGUUGAAAGGCGCUACGGCGUCACCUAGAGAUGGGUCCGCGGUGCAUUAGUUAGUUGGUGGGGUAAAGGCCUACCAAGACAAUGAUGCAUAGCCGAGUUGAGAGACUGAUCGGCCACAUUGGGACUGAGACACGGCCCAAACUCCUACGGGAGGCUGCAGUAGGGAAUCUUCCACAAUGGGCGAAAGCCUGAUGGAGCAACGCCGCGUGUGUGAUGAAGGCUUUAGGGUCGUAAAGCACUGUUGUAUGGGAAGAAAUGCUAGAAUAGGGAAUGAUUCUAGUUCGACGGUACCAUACCAGAAAGGGACGGCUAAAUACGUGCCAGCAGCCGCGGUAAUACGUAUGUCCCGAGCGUUAUCCGGAUUUAUUGGGCGUAAAGCGAGCGCAGACGGUUGAUUAAGUCUGAUGUGAAAGCCCGGAGCUCAACUCCGGAAUGGCAUUGGAAACUGGUUAACUUGAGUGUUGUAGAGGUAAGUGGAACUCCUGGGGAGG
RNAcentral lists this ribosomal RNA (613 nucleotides) under Leuconostoc lactis. RNAcentral's name for it is "bacterial SSU rRNA". It matches the Rfam family "Bacterial small subunit ribosomal RNA", at positions 79 to 678 of the family's 1533-position model. The record is from RNAcentral. Lineage: Bacteria; Bacillati; Bacillota; Bacilli; Lactobacillales; Lactobacillaceae.